UGUUAUUCCAUGCUAAUGUAU
This 21-nucleotide unclassified non-coding RNA is filed under the name Chlamydomonas reinhardtii. RNAcentral describes it as "small RNA Cre_3654". The record is from RNAcentral. Lineage: Eukaryota; Viridiplantae; Chlorophyta; Chlorophyceae; Chlamydomonadales; Chlamydomonadaceae.